This 301-nucleotide ribosomal RNA is filed under the name uncultured bacterium. RNAcentral describes it as "partial 16S ribosomal RNA". It matches the Rfam family "Bacterial small subunit ribosomal RNA", at positions 509 to 808 of the family's 1533-position model. The record is from RNAcentral.
CAGUCGCCACGGUAAUACAGAGGGUGCGAGCGUUAAUCGGAUUUACUGGGCGUAAAGCGUGCGUAGGCGGCUUCUUAAGUCGGAUGUGAAAUCCCUGAGCUUAACUUAGGAAUUGCAUUCGAUACUGGGAAGCUAGAGUAUGGGAGAGGAUGGUAGAAUUCCAGGUGUAGCGGUGAAAUGCGUAGAGAUCUGGAGGAAUACCGAUGGCGAAGGCAGCCAUCUGGCCUAAUACUGACGCUGAGGUACGAAAGCAUGGGGAGCAAACAGGAUUAGUACCCCAGUAGUCCCUGUCUCUUAUACA